UGUGUACGAGAUGCUACGGCAUCGAAGCAGUCUAUGUCAUACUUCCAAGAAAAGCUUGCAAUGUCAUAAACAAAUAAUGCCUGUACCAUAACCGACACAGGUGGGUAGGUAGAGUAUACUAAGGGGCGCGAGAUAACUCUCUCUAAGGAACUCGGCAAAAUGACUCCGUAACUUCGGGAGAAGGAGUGCCUUAUUUUUAUAAGGUUGCAAUAACAAGAUCCAAGCAACUGUUUACCAAAAACACAGGUCUCCGCUAAGUCGUAAGACGAUGUAUGGGGGCUGACGCCUGCCCAGUGCCAGAAGGUUAAAGAAGUUGGUUAGCAUUAGCGAAGCUGAUAACUGAAGCCCUGGUGAACGGCGGCCGUAACGAUAACGGUCCUAAGGUAGCGAAAUUCCUUGUCGGGUAAGUUCCGACCCGCACGAAAGGCGUAAUGAUUUGGAUACUGUCUCGGAGAGGGGCUCGGUGAAAUAGACUUGUCUGUGAAGAUGCGGACUACCUGCACCUGGACAGAAAGACCCUAUGAAGCUUUACUGUAACUUGAGAUUGAAAUUGGACUUUAUCUGCGCAGUAUAGGUGGGAGACGUUGAAAAUAUUCUUGCGGGAAUAUUGGAGUCAUCAGUGAGAUACCACUCUUAUAAUGUUAGAUUUCUAACUUUGUAUCAUUAUCUGGUCAAAGAACAGUUUCAGGCGGGCAGUUUGACUGGGGCGGUCGCCUCCCAAACGGUAACGGAGGCGCACAAAGGUUUCCUCUGAACGUGUAGAAAUCGUAUCUAGAGUGUAAAGGCAUAAGGAAGCUUGACUGUGAGACCUACAAGUCGAGCAGGGACGAAAGUCGGUCUUAGUGAUCUGACGGUGCUGAGUGGAAAGGCCGUCACUCAACGGAUAAAAGUUACUCUAGGAUAACAGGCUGAUCUCCCCCAAGAGUUCACAUCGACGGGGAGGUUUGGCACCUCGAUGUCGGCUCAUCGCAUCCUGGGGCGGUAGUACGUCCCAAGGGUUGGGCUGUUCGCCCAUGAAAGCGGUACGCGAGCUGGGUUCAGAACGUCGUGAGACAGUUCGGUCCAUAUCCGGUGUAGGCGUUAGAAUAUUGAGAGGAGCCUUCUUUAGUACGAGAGGACCGAGAAGGACAUACCUCUGGUGUACCAGUUAUCGUGCCAACGGUAAACGCUGGGUAGCCAUGUAUGGAGAGGAUAACCGCUGAAAGCAUCUAAGUGGGAAGCCCACCUCAAGAUAAG
Molecule: ribosomal RNA, 1236 nt
Filed under: metagenome
Description: bacterial LSU rRNA
Rfam family: Bacterial large subunit ribosomal RNA
Source: RNAcentral